UCCCUGGAAGUCCAGUGGUUAGGACUCAGAACUCUUAUUGCUGAGGGCCCAGGUUCAAUCCCUGGUUGGGGAA
Bubalus bubalis (water buffalo) is the source of this 73-nucleotide non-coding RNA. Lineage: Eukaryota; Metazoa; Chordata; Mammalia; Artiodactyla; Bovidae. The record is from the annotation of a RefSeq genome assembly.